Triplophysa rosa is the source of this 142-nucleotide small nucleolar RNA. RefSeq annotates it as small nucleolar RNA SNORA15. The record is from RefSeq and is a predicted model, not a curated record. The transcript has a single exon. NCBI's taxonomy places the organism in Eukaryota, Metazoa, Chordata, Actinopteri, Cypriniformes, Nemacheilidae.
GCAUGGCAGAAUUCUGUUGUACUCUGUCUAUAGUACACGCAGCCAGACACCAUGCUACAUCAUCCACUCUCUCUCUGUGCAUUUCAAUAGUGAUGAUGAUCAUCGCACAGUCAUCAUCAGACACAUCAGAGCGAGUACAUUC